UUCGCUGGGCUCGGACUUCGACGUCAUGGGCGGCUCUGCCUUGUGGAACAGCACAAACCCUGGAAAACGAGUGUACAAUUAAAACAGAACAGCUGAGAGAAAGAGGAAACAAGAGCUAAAGCCCGUUUGGCCUGGCAGGGGCUCUUGCUCCUAAGUGCGUUCGGCUUACAUGAUGAUCCAAUGUACGAAAAAAGCAAAUAUAACAAGAAACAAGCAAGUACGAUGUAGAAAAUACAA
Dermacentor andersoni is the source of this 237-nucleotide non-coding RNA. Lineage: Eukaryota; Metazoa; Arthropoda; Arachnida; Ixodida; Ixodidae. The record is from RefSeq and is a predicted model, not a curated record.